RNAcentral lists this ribosomal RNA (211 nucleotides) under uncultured Staphylococcus sp. RNAcentral's name for it is "partial 16S ribosomal RNA". It matches the Rfam family "Bacterial small subunit ribosomal RNA", at positions 730 to 940 of the family's 1533-position model. Lineage: Bacteria; Bacillati; Bacillota; Bacilli; Caryophanales; Staphylococcaceae. The record is from RNAcentral.
CCUACUCCCUGUGUCGCUUCGCCACCACGACGUCGGCGCGUCGACGAGGUAUAUACUACGUGUACGCACGACCGUAAGAUGNGUGACUAGUGGUGGGGUUUCCGCCCCUCAGUGCUGCAGCUAACGCAUUAAGCACUCCGCCGUGGGAGUACGACCGCAAGGUUAGAAACUACAAAGGUAAUUGACGGGACCCGCACAAGCGGUGGAGCAU